Molecule: long non-coding RNA, 4813 nt
Organism: Amphiprion ocellaris (clown anemonefish)
Lineage: Eukaryota; Metazoa; Chordata; Actinopteri; Pomacentridae
Source: Ensembl
CUUUACUGAAAAAAAAUGCUUUAAAAACAAUCAUUUUUCUCACAGGUUAUUACCAACAUUGUGCAAUGCAACAACAUUUCUUUGCUAUUAGUUUAAAUACAAUAAGCAGUCACCUUAAAGUUCCAUCUAUAAUGUCUAUUCUAAGGAAGAACCCAAAAGCUCAGAAAGCUACCCAGAUAUAUUGUUAACUUCUACUAGUAUCAAAAUCACCAGAUAUACAUUUAUGUUAUUUGCUAUUAUACCUUUCAUAAUAAACACGUUUUUCUCUAUCAGGACACAUGGAUGAUAAGUCUGUGUUUGAACCUUAUUUAACGUCUAUCACUCUCUACAGCGUUAGUCUAAAAAAGCUAUUCCAAAAUGUAAUGCUCAGUCAGAGGAGCUAGAAGUUGAUGCAAAGUGAAACAGACAUUAACAUAAACACAUUAUUUUCCACCCGUCCUAAAAUACGAUCACAGCCCUACUGGAGGUGUCGGGGCAAUCAAAGCAGCAUCAAUCCAUCGCUCUCAUCAAACUCAAUCACGCUCCCAGCCGAGCCCUGGCAAUCUUCAUGGAAAGUGGCAAGAAGCAGCGGGGAGGGCACAACAAUGCUUAAUAAUAAUUCAGCUGUCUUCUGCUCUCAAUGGGACAUGCGGUUUCAUUUAGGAAACAACAGGACAGGGGAGGCAAAGAUCAGUCUCUUGAUUUGUGUAAUUAUGUUCUCAGGAAAUGGAAACGGCUGCUUCAGUGAACCAGGUCGAACCGAGUGUUCCCAUCAGCUACACCACAAUGGAUCUGUACAGGACCUUAUUUAAGAGUCUUGACAUCUGAGAUCGGAGUUUUCUUUUCGUGUCUAAGAUUUAUUUUUUCUCCAAAAGUUGCCAGCACCCAAAAAAGAUUGCCAAGGCUGCCUGACGCUUUGCUUGACUCCUUUAAACGAACAUGACUGAGGUCUAUUGCCUCGUCCAGUGUUCACAUGUAAAGCUGAGCUGUUGAAAAUAUGGUUCAAAUAAAUACACGGCUUUCGACUGCUCCAGGCAGGUGCUAGGUGGCGCUAACAUUCACAGGAAUGUGUAGUCUACCCUUUCAGCCUCUUUGGUUCCAUUGUAGGAUCCAACAACUAUGGACAUGAUGUUAACUCUGAGUGCACCCAGACAGAAACAAACAGCAGUUAGCCCAGUUGAUCUACGUCCUACAUGCUCAUCGAUCAAUAGAGGUUUAUUAUGUUAGCUUAUAUAGUUCAUUUUAUUGCUGAUGGCGAUGUUAAAGGAGAGAAGACUGCUGCUGGGUGAGGACAUCGACAGGUCAGAAAAAUGGCACUCGUCCUCUCUGAAUAUUAACAAUCAGCAUUUCUCUUCUCCAGACUUAACCAAUCAGCAAUGAGACCCUCACAGCAGUUCAGAAGUACCUAGCCCAGAGUGGGGCGUGUUCUUCUCCUAGAAGAGGUUCUGCAGGGGCGGUUCUUGCGGUCAGGACAAUCGCUAAAGUUUAGGCUGCACUAAAAGGGCCGAAUGCAAAUGCUGACUGUGUAGAGUGCAACAUGCAACCUGUAACUAAUGAUGCAUGGAUCAGUACAGCCUUAGACAUCUUAGAUCCUUCGCCUGCAGCCUGACUACAUCCAAUUAAGGAGACAGUUCACUUCAAUCACCACUGGAGCUCCUCAGAACUUAGCCACAACCAAAUCCACAUCUAACAAUUAUAUAAAUGUUAACAAUGUGGUAAUCGGUCAAAUCAAAAAGCUGCUCAGUGGUUCGGCCUUCACUCAAACGCACAGCAGCAGAAGAGUCUUGUAGGAUUAGUGGAGCUGAGCAGUGAGCUUCCUGCUGUCUUUGUUUCUGUCCAUCAGCCACAGCACUGCAAAUCAAUAGUCAUUAACACCCAGCACUGUUACAGACUAAUACACCUUAAACAAUGCUCCCUGUCUAGUACACACACAUAUACAAGUUGAAAUAUUCAUACACAGUAUAUUGCUACAGGAGUAAGAUUGUGGGAGAGUGGGUGAUGCUGUAACAUAUGGACGUGAAUGUACAACACUUUGAAGGUCAGAUCUACCUUGAAGAGGUCACUGCACACAAAAGAUAGCAACGAUCUCAUAGAAUAAACCCAAGCAGUCAGGAUAUAAUGCACAACCAAAGGGAAACAGAACCUUAAAAAGCCCUAUGCUUAAACAGACAUUACAUUAACUCUGACAUUAUGUUAUAGAAACAAUCUAAUGAGCAGGACUUUCCAUGUUUUACAAGAUUAAUAUCAAAUACUGUAAAAGCCAGAAUCUGAAUAAUGUCUCAAGUAAGAGCUGGAAGUGUCCAGCAUAGACGGUUAAAGGCUGCAUGAAAAACUGAGGAGAGGUGGAAUUACUUGUUCUAGAUCACAGAAUAAACUCAGCAUCAGAUACAUUUCCACAGCACUGACUCACAUCAUUACCACUCCUACUGCUUAGUCGUUUUUAUGAGUGAAUUUAAGUUGGAAUGAGUUUUACUCAACACACCCAACAAGAGGCUUUACACACUUUGAGCUUUGGAGAAUCUUUUUGUGACUUUACACAUUCAGAAAAAAAAAAAAAAACAGAACAAUGGAAACUACCAGUAAACAGUAAAUCAAAAUGGUGUGCAGUAUAAAGUACAUUAUGUCUUAUUUAUCAUAAUGACAGGAAAAAUUGCAGAAAGUUUUGAGUUUACAUGAACAGCAUAGCUAAAAAAAUACAAAGGUAACUGAGAAAACGGGGGGACUUCGGAUAAAAGAUCCCCUUACAAAUAAUUACCUGUUUCUCUCUGCUGUUCAGGUAAUUUAAGGACCCAGACAGUUUACAGUCUGGAUAAAUGGUUCAAACCCUUAGCAAUUAAAGUAGCAAUCAUUUUGAGAAAGCUAGCAUUUUUAAUCCAUACUACAGCAGGACCUUUGCUGUUCUGGUGGUUGUAGCAAAUUAUCAUAAUUACUGUGACAUUUUCUGUGUUGAGGCGCAGAGAUAAGUUAACAGCACUGUUAACACAGACAGAAAACAGAAAUCACAGUAACACAUAAAUAUGGAAGAAGACUGCAUCCACUAAAGAAACCGACUUUGAAGACUUUAUCUCCCCCUAACGAUGAUUUAUCAUCUCAUUAGAAUGAGAACAGAUCUCAAAAUCAGGAAAUCUGAAUGUCUGCGUUAUGAUAAUCAACUCUAGAGUAAGAAAAUAUCUUUAUCUUUGUUGUUCAUUUCAAACAAGCAUCCAUAAACCGGCUUAAAACUCCUAGAAGAAGACAGUGAAGAACUGGCCUGAGAAUCACCUUUUCUUUAGCAUCACAGUCAUUCAGGGAGAGUUCUCAGUAUAAUGGAAGAACUGCUAAAAACAACUUCCACAGGCGUAAUCUGUCAGACUGUGAACACAUAUAGGCUACAGGAACAAGGCAGUAACAUACACUAUGGUGCUUAAUUCAUGUCCAGACCUGUGUACAUAAAAACAUGCACAAGAGAGGAGUCCACAGAGCAGGUCUUCCUCACAAGGAAGCAUUUCUGCUCAGGUGUACAAAUGUCCUGUCUGAUGGGAUGUCAGUCAAGUCAAGUUGUCGAGUUGAUUUCUGAGACUUUGGAGGCAGAACGGUGGCUGAUAAUUGGUCUGUCUCUCUGACAGACGUGGAACAAGGACUCAGAUUUUACACUCUGAUAAAAGUAGUAAUAUCACAGUGUCUACACUGAUUUCAAUGCAUCCAUUUUCACUUAAUUAAAAGUGUAAGAGUAUCAAAAGCAAAAAUGCUCAUUGUGCAGAAUGGUCCUUUUCAGAAUAAUGUACACUACCGUUCAAAAGUUUAACGUCAUCCAGACGAUUUCAUGAUUUCCAUGAAAACUCCCGCUUUUAUCCACAUGCUAACAUAACUGCACAAGGGUUUUCUAAUCAUCAAUUAGCCUUUCAACACCAUUAGCUAACACAAUGUAGCAUUAGAACACAGGAGUGAUGGUUGCUGGAAAUGUUCCUCUGUACCCCUAUGGAGAUAUUCCAUUAAAAAUCAGCUGUUUCCAGCUACAAUAGUCAUUUACCACAUUAACAAUGUCUACACUGGAUUUAUCAUUCAUUUAAUGGUAUCUUAAUUGAAAAAAAAAGCUUUUCUUUCAAAAAUGAGGACAUUUCUAAGUGACCCCAGACUUUUGAACAGUAGUGUAUAUUAUAUUAAUUCAUGUGUUCAUUAUUUUAUUACAGCUAAUGAAGGUGAAGUUAAUUUUAAUAUCUGUUACUGGCUAGUUUGGGUAAUUUUAUAUACAUAUAGUAUUGUAUUGUUAGUGUAACUAGUAAAGUUAUCGAAUGAAUGUAGAGUAAAAGUACAAUAUUUGCCUCUGAACUGUAGAGCUCCUGCAGUAAUAAAGCAAGACUCAUAUUUAAUAACUCAAAUAAUACAUCAAAGGAUACGCCUGUGUUUUUUAUGUGCACAGGUUUGAAACUAAUUGAACACCACAAAAGUUUACAUCUGUUCACACAUGUGAAGACUUUUAACAUCUAAUGUAACAUUUUCCAAAGGACUUUGUUGAAAUUUAACAUUUCAACCCAGAGAGCUCAACCUUUUAUAGUAAAAAUGGCAUCUAAAUGUCGUACUUAUCAGAAAGGAAUUCAUAUUUAUGAGGUUUUUUCUUCCGUGAAUGCUGAGCACUUCUGUACAGAUACACGUUAAAAACAGGGAAAACACACAUCUGCCCAUUCUCAUAACUGGAACCAGAUAAUGCAAACAGUGUUAGUGCUGCUGAGUGAAAUCAGAUGUAACUCAUGUGUUCUCCAUCCACUUAAAGGGCUUCAAUCCAAAAACCAGUCCAGCCGUGUUGGAUCAAAACACACAAUCUCUCAUUUGACACGCUUCCUCUGAUUAUUGCCCU